CAUUUUUGAUUAAAUUAUGUUUAAUAAUACUAUAGCUAUACAUAGGUGGUAAAUGGUUUUAUUCGUAUUGUUUAUAUUAAUUCUGAUAAAAAAUGAUCGAUAACAUACUUAAAGCUUUUUUUAUGAGGCCAAAAAUGUUCUCAGGUGAAUCUGGAAUAUAAUUAUAUUACUGUAUAAGGAGUUAUUUAUAUGGGUGGAUAGGUACCGUUCCUGAUGAAUUUGUAUUGUUUUCUAUUAAACAUAUUAUGUACAAUUUCUUUUUUGUAUUUAAGUGUAGACUAUUAGAAAAGAUUUACUUUUCUAUCGGAACGUUGUCACUAUACACUGUCCGGCGAGAGAACUCGCUGAUUCUGCGCAUCCCCCCAAGUUGCCGGCCAUGCUAUUGAAACCGGUUCCCUAUGGCUGGGUGUGGUGUAGGGAUACGCAAGGCACAGACAGAAAUUAUACAUAUUACUAUUAAUAUUUUAUUAAAUUAUUUGUAUUUACAACCAAGUAAUAUCAAUGUAUAAAACCAUUAAAACCAACAAUUUCAACUGAUAACAGCUAAGUUAUUUCAACAGUUAAUUUAGCUUCUAAGUUUUGAAAUGAUUCGAAAAUUAAUUAACUAAUUAGGAUAAAAAUAAUAAAAUUAAUGAACUUUUUAGCUUGUUUAAACUUUUUAACUAGCCAAGGCCCCACCACUUUUUCAAUACUGCAUGAAAAUAAGCAUUCGAGGACCAGACACUCGAGCAGGCUAGCAUGUUAUAUAGACUUUUACUCACGUAGAAGAGGAGACAGAAGUGCUUUUUGUUCAUAAUUAAAUACGUUGUGGGAUGAAAAAACAGAAAUAGAAGACGGUGGAUAUUUUAGUGGCUAUAUAUAUAUCAGAGACUGUCCUAAAAUUAGGCCCCGGUCUUCGAAAUGCAGAUCAGCAUUCAGCACACACAGGAGCAACUUUUGUACAGCUGAAGUUGAGGGGACGUCAAGGUCAUCGAACGUUUGUUUAGCUGAAUCGACCACCCGCUCGUCGAAUCGAAAUUCAUUUUUAAGAUCUUUACAGUUGAAUUGAAAGUCGUUACUGGUGCGUCAGACUUGUUGGAUCGAGCGCCAAUCGAAUGCGUAUAUUGUGACCUAAUAUCGCAAACGACCAAUACAGGUUAUUGAAGUUUGGUAGUCUGACACUUCAGGUCGUUGAGAUUGUCACUGAUGGCCGAGAACUGUACUCGACCACCGCCCACGUUUCGCAGCUAAAAUCGUGGAAGAUCGUCAGUUCACCAGGCGACGAAGAAGUGGAGUUCGGCGAGGAGGUAGAAGUACCCAUCCCAGGGGAAGUCUAUACCAACUCGUCAAAGACGUCUUCCUAACCGUUUCAUAUAGAUCAUAUUAUAAACAUAUGUUUAGUGGUUUUUUUUUACGUAA
Molecule: long non-coding RNA, 1398 nt
Organism: Myzus persicae (green peach aphid)
Lineage: Eukaryota; Metazoa; Arthropoda; Insecta; Hemiptera; Aphididae
Exons: 2
Source: RefSeq, a predicted model, not a curated record